Coccinella septempunctata (seven-spotted ladybird) is the source of this 1156-nucleotide long non-coding RNA. RefSeq lists it as uncharacterized. The transcript is spliced from 3 exons. NCBI's taxonomy places the organism in Eukaryota, Metazoa, Arthropoda, Insecta, Coleoptera, Coccinellidae. The record is from RefSeq and is a predicted model, not a curated record.
UUGCAAUUUUCGAUAUUACGAAACCACCUCAGUUAAGCACCGUUCAUAACCUUCGUUUUGGCCCUGAAUAUUUUCAGUAAUUUCGUGAUUUUUAGCGUUGAAAUUGCUAAAAUAAAUUUAUAUUAGGAAUGUUGAGGUCACUAUGCAGCUAAAAAUAAAUUAAAAUUUUAAAAUUUCCAUAAUUUUUCAAUUCCUUUAACGUGUUUUUCUGUCAUUUUGGUAACAGUGUUGAGGGAGCCUUAGGCCAGUUUCAUUUUACUGUUGACAGACCGUGAAAAAAUUGAUGCAAAUUUUUAAGGUUUAUUUAAUUAUUAUUGAAAUUAAAGGAUAUAUCAUAGGAUAUAUUUACUACAUUUCUCUCUGUACGAUAGCACUUCGGAGCUCACAUCACAAUUGAAUUUUUUCCCAUAAUCGGAAAGUUAGGUUAUUAUUGAGGAGAUAUGAAAGAAAGUUCUUGGACGUGAAUCUGUAUCAAAAUCGGAUGUAAUAACUGAUAGUUUAUUUUGUCACUAAUAAUACUUAUUUUUCAGGCACAUAUAAAUUUAUCAUAUCAAGAAAUGUAUGAAAUUCAUAAAUGUCAAAUAUCAUCUCUCGGGAAGUCUCAUUUUAAAUAAAAAAAGCUUCUUCAGGGAUUAAAUUACAUGCAAACUCAUAGAAUGAGAAACUUCCUUAUUCUUGGUGUAUGAACAUAAGAAUUUCUAGAUAACAAACGGUUCUUGGGGGCACAUAUAAAUUUAUCAGAUCAAGAAAUGUAUAAUAUCAUUUCUCGGACAGUGUUAUUUGGUAAAAAAGAGGUAGUUCAGAGUAAGUUUAUAAAGCAAUUCAUUCAGGAUAGUUUCUAUGUGAAGUAAAUGAUCUAUUUCGCUUUUUUUCAACUGAAUACAACAGAUUUCUGACAACUUUCAUGCAAUCGGGUAGUGUACGGAGAUGAUUUUCUUAGUCUAGAUCUAUGGAAAAAUGUUUUGAGAUAAGUUAUUCAUUUGGAAUGAUAUAAUGAUUAUUGAAACACAAUCUAUGAGUGAGUUUUUGCGUUAAAAUUCUAUAUUUAUAGACAUUUGUCAAGUUUUCUCAUUUAAGGUAAGAUUGUUACUCUUAUCGUAGAGAGAGGGACUCUGUAGGUUUUUGUUCAAAAUAAACUGAAUGAAAUGUUAUAAUA